This 346-nucleotide long non-coding RNA is filed under the name Phasianus colchicus (ring-necked pheasant). RNAcentral describes it as "lncRNA (ENSPCLG00000016644.1)". Lineage: Eukaryota; Metazoa; Chordata; Aves; Galliformes; Phasianidae. The record is from RNAcentral.
UACUGGUCCAUACUGGUCCAUACUGGCCCAUACUGCCCCAUACUGGCCCAUACUGGCCCAUACUGGUCCAUACUGCCCCAUACUGGCCCAUACUGCCCCAUACUGGUCCCUACUGGUCCAUACUGGUCCAUACUGGCCCAUACUGGUCCACACUGACUCAUACUGGUCCAUACUUGUCCAUACUGCCCCAUACUGACUCAUACUGGCCUAUACUGGUCCAUACUGGUCCAUACUGCCCCAUACUGCCCCAUACUGGUCCCUACUGGUCCAUACUGGUCCAUACUGCCCCGUACUGCCCCAUACUGGUCCAUACUGGUCCCUACUGGUCCAUACUGGUCCGCAGACC